Molecule: ribosomal RNA, 253 nt
Filed under: uncultured Prevotella sp.
Lineage: Bacteria; Pseudomonadati; Bacteroidota; Bacteroidia; Bacteroidales; Prevotellaceae
Description: partial 16S ribosomal RNA
Rfam family: Bacterial small subunit ribosomal RNA
Source: RNAcentral
UACGGAAGGUCCGGGCGUUAUCCGGAUUUAUUGGGUUUAAAGGGAGCGUAGGCCGGUCUUUAAGCGUGCCGUGAAAUUUUGUGGCUCAACCAUGAGAGUGCGGCGCGAACUGGAGACCUUGAGUGCGCGGAAGGCAGGCGGAAUUCGUGGUGUAGCGGUGAAAUGCGUAGAUAUAUGGAAGAACACCAGUGGCGAAAGCGGCUCUCUGGUCUGUAACUGACGCUGAGGUUCGAAAGCGUGGGUAGCAAACAGG